Molecule: long non-coding RNA, 509 nt
Organism: Sinocyclocheilus grahami
Lineage: Eukaryota; Metazoa; Chordata; Actinopteri; Cypriniformes; Cyprinidae
Exons: 3
Source: RefSeq, a predicted model, not a curated record
UGUCAGCGGGAACCGAACCCAACUGAGCCACUGCUGCAGAAAGACUGCUAUCAUUACACUUUAACACUGAAACACAGCUUUCACUAUAUUAGUGAACACAUUUGUGAAUAGUGAGCACAUUUGUGAAUAGUGAGCACAUUUGUGAAUAGUGAACACAUUUGUGAAUAGAGAGGACAUUUGUGAAUAGUGAACAGAUUUGUGAAUAGUGAGCACAUUUGUGAAUAGUGAACAGAUUUGUGAAUAGAGAGGACAUUUGUGAAUAAUGAACAGAUUUGUGAAUAGUGAGCACAUUUGUGAAUAGUGAACAGAUUUGUGAAUAGAGAGGACAUUUGUGAAUAGUGAACAGAUUUGUGAAUAGUGAGGACAUUUGUGAAUAGAGAGGACAUUUGUGAAUGGUGAGGACAUUUGUGAAUGGUGAGCACAUUUGUGAAUGGUGAGCACAUUUGUGAAUAGAGAGGACAUUUGUGAAUAGUGAGCACAUUUGUGAAUAUUGACAUUUAUAAAUAAAG